UACGUAGGCAGCGAGCGUUGUUCGGAGUUACUGGGCGUAAAGGGUGCGUAGGCGGUUUUCCAAGUUUGGUGUGAAAUCUCCCGGCUCAACUGGGAGGGUGCGCCGAAAACUGGAGGACUGGAGUACCGGAGAGGUAAGCGGAAUUCCUGGUGUAGCGGUGAAAUGCGUAGAGAUCAGGAGGAACACCUGUGGUGGUAGACAGCUUACUGGACGGUGACUGACGCUGAGGCACGAAAGCGUGGGUAGCAACAGG
RNAcentral lists this ribosomal RNA (253 nucleotides) under uncultured bacterium. RNAcentral's name for it is "partial 16S ribosomal RNA". It matches the Rfam family "Bacterial small subunit ribosomal RNA", at positions 524 to 775 of the family's 1533-position model. The record is from RNAcentral.